UCUAGAAACCUAUGUUUUUUUUUUUUUUUACAGUAAGUCUUCUUAAAUCCACAGAGGAAAAGGUAUGUCAUUACUUAACAGAUCUACACCUGAUUCAACCACCACAGGAAACUCGUCAGCUUUGUCUUUUUCAAGAAUCAAGGUCUUGGUGACCUCCAACAAGUGCCCUUACAGACCCGCGACAAGGGGCCUUGGUGACCUCUGACGUGUGCCCUUACAGACCCCGACAAGGGGUCUUGGUGACCUCCAACAAGUGCCCUUACAGACCCGCGACAAGGGGCCUUGGUGACCUCUGACAAGUGCCCUUACAGACCCGCGACAAGGGGCCUUGGUGACCUCUGACAUGUGCUCCUUCAGACCCCGACAAGGGGCCUUGGUGACCUCUGACAAGUGCCCUUACAUACCCGUGACAAGGGGUCUUGGUGACCUCUGACAAGUGCCCUUACAGACCCCAACAAGGGGUCUUGGUGACCUCUGACAAGUGCCCUUACAGACCCCGACAAUUGGGUCUAGUGACCUCUGACAGGUGCCCUUACAGACCCCAACAAGGGGUCUUGGUGACCUCUGACAAGUGCUCCUUCAGACCCCAACAAAGGGUCUUGGCGACCUCUGACAAGUUCCCUUACAAACCCCGACAAGUGCCCUUACAGACCCACGACAAGUGGUCUUGGUGACGCCGACAAGUGCUCUUACAGACUCGCAACAAGUGGUCUUGGUGACCCCCGACAAGUGUCCUUACAGACCCCGACAAGUGGUCUUGGUAACCCCCGACAAGGAGUCUUGGUGAACUCUGACAAGUGCCCUUACAGACCCGCAACAAGUGGUCUUGGUGACCCCGACAAGGGCUCUUACAGACCCGCAACAAGUGGUUUUGGUGAACCCCGACAAGUGCCCUUACAGACCCGCAACAAGUAGUCUUGGUGACCCCGACAAGUGCCCUUACAGACCCGCAACAAGUGGUCUUGGUGACCCCGACAAGUGCCCUUACAGACCCGCAACAAGUGGUCUUGGUGACCCCCGACAAGUGCCCUUACAGACCCGUGACAAGUGGGGGAGAAACUAUUUUGACAUUAAAAUUAUUUUUUUUUUAAAACAUCGUGAACUUCUUGUGAGUUUUUAUUUACUCAAGUGUGUGUGUGUGUGUGUGUGUGUGUGAGAGAGAGAGACACUUCUCAUGGUGUGGUGGCAGUUAUCGUCUGUGUGUCGCAUACUCUGCAGGACUCGUGGAAACAGACAUCAGAAUCUACAGCUGUUUUAACAAACUUCAGUUUCACAGACCUUCAACAGCUAAGAAGAUCCUUUAGCUUGUUCACUCUGAGAACAUGCAGUGUCUUCUCACAAUUAUCUUGAAGACUGAUGCCUAUCAGGAGUUUUCCAUUUGGAUUUACAAAAAAGUUCCAUUCUUGUUCCAUUUGAGAUUGAGCUAUUGAAUCCAUUUUGAGCUGUUGAAUCCAACUCUUUUAGACAGCAGUUAAUGUGCUAUGAAGUAUAAAGCAUAUUCUGCAUCUUUGAAGGAAGAAUAUUUACAGGAAACAUGCUACACUCUGUUCUUUUUUUUUAAAUCAAAGAGAAUGAAAACAUUUUUAGUGGUUUUUUUUAUAUCUUCUGAUGUCAAAUCACCUGAGAUCUUUGACUUUUCACUGGAUGUUGUUUAACUUUCUUGCACAUGCUCAGAUGGCAG
Molecule: long non-coding RNA, 1681 nt
Organism: Cyprinus carpio carpio
Lineage: Eukaryota; Metazoa; Chordata; Actinopteri; Cypriniformes; Cyprinidae
Source: Ensembl